UACGGAGAGUGCAAACGUUGUUCGGAUUUACUGGGCGUAAAGGGCACGUAGGCGGCUCGGCAAAUCGGUCGUGGAAUCCCGACGCUUAACGUUGGAACGGCGAUCGAAAAUACCGGGCUCGAGGGCGUGAGGGGUCACUGGAACUCCUGGUGACGCGGUGAAAUGCGUAGAUAUCAGGAGGAACGCCGGAGGCGAAAGCGAGUGACUGGCGCGUUCCUGACGCUGAGGUGCGAAAGCUAGGGGAGCAAACAGG
This 253-nucleotide ribosomal RNA is filed under the name uncultured bacterium. RNAcentral's name for it is "partial 16S ribosomal RNA". It matches the Rfam family "Bacterial small subunit ribosomal RNA", at positions 524 to 776 of the family's 1533-position model. The record is from RNAcentral.